UACUCCACAGAGAGAGAUUCCAGCAGGGCGGCAAGCCGAGUUAGGCGUGCGCCACCAUGGACGGCGGGGAGAAGAAGGAUGCCACGGCGGCGGCGGCGGCGGCGGCCAAGAAGGUGUCGCUGCUCGGCAUGUUCCGGUACGCCGACCGCCUGGACGUGCUGCUGAUGGUGGUCGGCGCGGUGGGCGCGGUGGCCAACGGCGUGACGGAGCCCCUCAUGACCAUCCUCUUCGGCAACGUCAUCGACUCCUUUGGCGACAGCACCGCGCAGAGCAUCAUCCGCAGCGUCAGAAAGGUUGUUCUCAACUUCAUAUAUCUGGGCAUCGGAGCAGCAGUUGUCUCCUUCCUUCAGGUCUCGUGCUGGACGAUGGCUGGAGAAAGGCAGUCAGCCCGCAUCCGUUCUUUAUACCUCAACGCUGUCCUGAGACAAGAUAUUGCAUUCUUCGAUACAGAGUUGACAACAGGCCAAGCAGUUUCCAGGAUGUCCAGCGAUACCCUCGUGAUUCAGGACGCUCUUGGCGAGAAGGCAGGAAAGCUUCUACAACUCGCAUCUGCCUUUUUUGGUGGUUUUGUAAUAGCAUUUACAAGAGGCUGGCUCCUCACUCUUGUCAUGCUAACAUCAUUACCGCUAAUUGCUAUUGCCGGUGCAGUUUCUGCACAGUUUCUAACCAAGGUUUCUAGCAAGAAACUAACAUCUUAUGGGGAUGCUGGGGACACAGUUGAGCAGACCAUCGGAGCUAUACGCACGGUAGUUUCGUUCAAUGGUGAGAAAAAAGCUAUUGCAAUGUACAAAAAUUUGAUCAAGAAGGCAUACAAGACUGAUAUUUUGGAAGGCCUCAUCAAUGGUUUUGGCAUGGGAUCUGUCUUUUGCAUUUUGUUCAGCAGCUAUGGGCUAGCUUUCUGGUAUGGUGGAAAGCUAAUCGUUGACAAAGGCUACACUGGAGGGAAAAUUAUAACAGUUUUGUUUGCUGUGUUAACUGGCGCUACUUCUUUAGGUAAUGCAACACCUUCUUUAUCUGCAAUUGCCGAGGGUCAGUCUGCAGCAUACAGAUUGUUUGAAACCAUUGAAAGGAAACCAGAAAUAGAUUCAGGUGAUACAAGCGGCAUGGUCUUAGAAGAUAUCAAGGGUGAUGUCGAGCUAAAAGAUGUUCACUUUCGCUACCCUUCAAGACCUGAUCAAUUGAUAUUAGAUGGAUUGUCAUUACAAGUAGCCAGUGGGACAACAAUGGCCAUAGUUGGAGAGAGUGGAAGUGGCAAGUCAACUGUUAUCAGCCUAGUUGAACGGUUCUAUGAUCCACAGGCUGGUGAAGUUCUGAUAGACGGUAUUAACAUCAAGAACAUUAGGCUCAGUUGGAUAAGAGAGAAGAUUGGUCUGGUCAGCCAAGAACCGGUGCUCUUUAUGACCUCCAUUAAAGAUAACAUCAUGUACGGUAAAGAAGAUGCGACACUUGAAGAGAUCAAGAGAGCAGCUGAGCUUGCAAAUGCAGCAAACUUCAUCGACAAGUUGCCGAAUGGCUAUGAUACAUUGGUUGGGCAGCGUGGCACACAGCUUUCUGGAGGACAGAAGCAAAGAAUUGCAAUAGCAAGAGCCAUCCUUAAAGAUCCAAAAAUACUUUUGCUUGAUGAAGCAACAAGUGCAUUGGAUGUGGAAUCUGAGCGGAUAGUUCAGGAGGCACUGAAUAGGAUAAUGGUGGAAAGGACCACACUUGUUGUUGCUCAUCGUUUAAGCACUGUAAGGAAUGUUGACUGCAUAACAGUUGUUCGUCAAGGGAAAAUAGUUGAACAAGGCCCUCAUGAUGCAUUGGUGAAGGAUCCUAAUGGAGCCUACUCCCAGCUUAUUAGGCUACAAGAGAGUCGUGCCGAUGAAAGGCGUAAACAUGCAGACUCUGGGGUACCAGACUCCAGAUCAAAAAGCACCAGUUUGUCAUUUAGACAGUCAAUGAAUAAAGAUUCUUUUGGUAAUAGCAACAGAUAUUCCUUCAAGAACCCCUUAGUAUUGUCAGCUGAACUACAUGAAGAUAGGAUCAUGGGUGGACAGAAAACAGAAGAGCUCUCUGAUGUUGUGGCACAUAAGAAAGCAUCAAUAGGACGUCUUUUCAAGCUAAACAUACCAGAAGUUCCAGUUCUUCUAUUAGGUUCUAUAGCAGCAGCAGUACAUGGAGUCAUUUUCCCAUUGUUUGGUAUAUUAAUGUCUGGUGUUAUAAAAUCGUUCUAUGAACCACCAGAUAAGCUGAAAAAGGAUACUAGCUUUUGGGCUCUGAUAUCUGUUGUUAUGGGGGUUGCAAGUUUGAUUUCAAUCCCAGCAGAAUAUUCUUUGUUUGCGAUUGCUGGUGGCAAACUUAUAGAGCGUAUACGUACUUUGUCAUUUCAAAGCAUUGUGCACCAAGAAGUUGGUUGGUUUGACAAUGCCUCGAAUUCCAGUGGGGCGCUUGGUACAAAGCUCUCAGUUGACGCCUUAAAUGUCCGACGCUUAGCAGGAGAUAAUUUGGCCCUUAUAGUGCAGUCCAUAGCUUCCUUAACAACUGGAUUUGUCAUAGCCUUUGCUGCAGACUGGAGGCUUGCACUGAUCAUCACAUGUGUGAUUCCUUUGGUAGGGGUACAAGGUUAUGCUCAAGUAAAGUUCUUGAAGGGGUUUAAUGAAGAUGCUAAGGAGAUGUAUGAAAAUGCAAGUCAAAUUGCAACUGAUGCUGUCGGUAGUAUCAGAACAGUAGUAUCUUUCUGUGCUGAGAAAAGAGUGGUUGCAACAUACAACGAGAACUGUGAAGCUCUAAGGAAACAGGGCAUUCGAAGUGGAAUUGUUGGAGGGCUUGGUUAUGGCUUCUCAUUCUUAAUGUUGUAUCUCACAUAUGGUCUUUGUUUCUAUGUUGGUGCACAGUUUGUACGUCAGGGAAAAACUACUUUUCCAGAUGUUUUCAAGGUUUUCUUCGCCUUAGUUUUGGCAUCUAUUGGGGUUUCACAGGCUAGUGCACUGGCUUCUGAUGCAACAAAGGCAAGGGAUUCUGCUAUAUCCAUUUUCAGUAUUCUGGAUAGGAAGUCAAAAAUCGACUCAAGUAGCGAUGAUGGGAUGACACUGGAUAAUGUCACUGGCAAUAUUAAUUUUAACAAUGUCGGUUUCAAGUACCCGCAACGCCCUGAUGUCCAGAUAUUCAGUGACUUUACCUUGCACAUUCCUUCUGGAAAGGAUGGAUUCUCGGCAGAGAUUGGUCCACAGAUGCAUAUCUACCUGAGGUCCUGAGCAGGGUGGUGUUCGAGCAGCUUCCGAUUUGGUCGUCAAUCGCGUGCCCUGGUUCCGAUCGAUUCAGCCUUGUGGAUUGGCGACGACGGCCACCAGGGAUCCAAUCUCCUCUGCUAUAGCUUGGUGUUCCUUCCAUGGAGCGGCAGGUUUGUUUGGAUGAGCAUUCAUUGAUGCCUACGGUGAGUCUGAUGCUCCUUUUUUUUCUCACAUUAAUUCGAUUCUCCUGCUGUUGCCUGAUUACUCCUGUUGGUGGCGACAAUUGUUUGUGAUAAUGAUGAUUGGGUUGAAGAAUUGAUGAUGAUUGAUUGUCCGCAUUGUUGGUGACGAUUUGUGAUUGGAUCCCUGGUGUUAUUUGGAGUAGUAAGCGUACCUAUUAGCAAUCCCAAAUUUAGUGACAGCUGGUGCAGGAGCAACCAGUUCAGCUUUGUUCUAUUUUGGUGACCUGAGCAGUUUGAAGUAUUUCUGGCAUAUUCUGUUGUGCCUCGUCGCCUCCUGUCCUGGUCACAUACAUCAUCGUAGGUUGUGGCGACGAGUUGCUGUUUUGGAUCUGACCAAAUCUCCUUUAAUUGCCCAUUCAGUCAAGGCUCCGUAGCUUCUUCUCCACAUAGUGAACUUUGGAUGCCUCGUAUAAUUUUGUUGUUAAAUGUUGAUGUACCUAAUUUGAACAGUUCGUUACUUGAGUUUCUUCAUGAGAUAUCCUACUGCCUACGCAUGUCCCUGACUGGCAAGCUAUGGGCAAUGAGCACCCCCAGCCUCAACCAGCUCCGAUCUGAAUACAGCUAGUAGAACACCCUCUGUUGAGAAGCUGAGCGCCAACACAAUCCUUUCAACCUUGCUCUGUGGUGGGAAUUAUAACAAUUACCUUGCCAUGUCCGUUCUAGUUCAGUUAAACAAUUACCCUACUCUAUAGUGAGCUUGGCAAUGACCUGUGAAUUAAUUGUUUCUUGGGAUUAAUAUUUUUUUAUUUAUUACUAGUUCAUGGUAUUUUUUUUUCAAAAUACCAUAAAUGAUUUCCCUGUUCUCAGUUUGUCUCCCUCACUUGUGGAUAGUCUGAGGACACAAGGAGCAUAUUCUACUGGGUCUCCUGUCCAGGACUAGUUCAGAUGCUCCUGUGCUCCUUGAGAAGCUCAGCUUUAGGCAUGAGAGGUGAGCUCUUACCUAUUGCUGCUUGAUCACUUUAUGUAUUCUUGAUCUUUCCUUAGACAGAGGCAUGCUUAACCUUUUUAAUUGAUUUAACUUUCAAUAGUUUUAUAUUAAAUAAUUCAUGCUUUGUAUGUCUUAUAUGGAGAAAGAAUAUGCAGAAAUGAAGCACUUCCUUUGUGCUGAUCAUAGCUUUUUUACUUAGUAUAUUCAGUCCUUUCCUUUGCCAUUAAAUUAUGAAAUCUCUGGUGCAUGUAUACCUUUGGACCUUGCUUGAUCUAAAUAUUUACAUGUUCAGUGCAGCUGAUUAAUACUCUACUGUUCAUGGAUCCUAUUUACAGGAUGAUGUUAAAGUUUUAAGGUUGCCGACUUUUACUUUGGUUAGCACAGAUUGUAGGUUAGAUGACAUCUAGUAAUCUCUGUUGCUUUGUUUUAGUUUUGAUGCUACUGUUAAUAUUGAGUCCCUGUAUACAGUGUCAGCAUGAUUGCAUAGGUGGAAUAAUUAUGGCUAAACUGAAAUGGCUCACGGAAUCUAGGAAUAAAUUAAACAAAAGAUCUGGAAAACUUAAAACCAUAAGACUGGAUUGGAGAAAUCUUUUCUUAAAAAUACACAGGUGCAUUGCUGCUGCGAUUCGGAUGAAGGAUAUGGUUGGACAAUCAGAAGCAGGUUGUUGAACUUAGACAUGGCUGGAAGCACACAAGCCUAAGAUCCAGCAGCACAAUCUGAACUGCAGCUGUUUUUAGCUGCCAAGUUCCCCUUGACAUCAGAUGGUGUAGUGGACACCACGAUCUCCAUUAUUGACAGUGUCAUCUUUCAGCGCUACCCAUCAUCACAAUUAGGUGUUUAGGGACAGUUCCCCUUCAUCAUUUGAUGGAUUUUGUGCAGAAAGCAUUUGUUGUACAGUAGAUAUAUUCUGAGUUUCAUGUUAGGAUGGUAUAUUUAGAGUCUAUGUGUAUAGUUUCUUAUAAAAAUAUAUGUUCGUAGUGGCAGGUGAUAGAAAUAAUGAUGCGAUUACGAGUUCAUCUGUGUUUAUGGUAUUUAUGAACCGGCUCAGAAAAAAUGUGUGGUGUUCGUAGAUAAUGAGAUUUUAUUUAUGAACCGGCUCAGAAAAAAUGUGUGGUGUUCGUAGAUAAUGAUAUUUUAGCAUCAACA
Molecule: RNA transcript, 5526 nt
Organism: Panicum virgatum (switchgrass)
Lineage: Eukaryota; Viridiplantae; Streptophyta; Magnoliopsida; Poales; Poaceae
Gene name: ABC transporter B family member 4-like
Exons: 13
Source: RefSeq, a predicted model, not a curated record